GAUGAACGCUAGCUACAGGCUUAACACAUGCAAGUCGAGGGGUAACGAGAGGGAAGCUUGCUUUCCUUGUCGACGACCGGCGCACGGGUGAGUAACGCGUAUCCAACCUGCCCCCAACUAGGGAAUAACCUUGCGAAAGUAAGACUAAUACCCUAUAAUUUCCUCAGAUGUCAUCUGACGAGGAAUAAAGAUUUAUCGGUUGUGGAUGGGGAUGCGUCUGAUAGCUUGUUGGCGGAGUAACGGCCCACCAAGGCAACGAUCAGUAGGGGUUCUGAGAGGAAGGUCCCCCACAUUGGAACUGAGACACGGUCCAAACUCCUACGGGAGGCAGCAGUGAGGAAUAUUGGUCAAUGGGCGGAAGCCUGAACCAGCCAAGUAGCGUGCAGGAUGACGGCCCUAUGGGUUGUAAACUGCUUUUAUACAGGAAUAAAGUUAGCCACGUGUGGUUAUUUGUAGGUACUGUAUGAAUAAGGACCGGCUAAUUCCGUGCCAGCAGCCGCCGUAA
Molecule: ribosomal RNA, 505 nt
Filed under: uncultured bacterium
Lineage: Bacteria
Description: partial 16S ribosomal RNA
Rfam family: Bacterial small subunit ribosomal RNA
Source: RNAcentral